RNAcentral lists this unclassified non-coding RNA (204 nucleotides) under Hevea brasiliensis (rubber tree). Lineage: Eukaryota; Viridiplantae; Streptophyta; Magnoliopsida; Malpighiales; Euphorbiaceae. The record is from RNAcentral.
UGGAAUUCUUGCUUCUUGCAUGUUGCUGCAAACCAAGACCCAGUUCCAAGUUGAGCGUUCUGAAAUGGCUCGUUGGAGGCCUAAAUUGCCGAUCAAAGGUGAUCCAAAAGUGAUGCAGAAAGGACGUGUGUUGGAGCGUGGACUGAUACUAUCAAGCAGCCAUAAGGUAAAGAGAGAAGCUACUGAUCCACCCAGAGAAUUUCC